RNAcentral lists this long non-coding RNA (208 nucleotides) under Homo sapiens (human). Its description in RNAcentral is "non-protein coding lnc-HIST2H3PS2-3:5". The record is from RNAcentral. Lineage: Eukaryota; Metazoa; Chordata; Mammalia; Primates; Hominidae.
AGCGCGGGCGCAGGCGCCCAGAGGCGCACAGGAGACCUCAGGCCCAGACUCCACUCCCCAGCUGUGAAAGGGUUGCUGGCCAGACCCCCAAGCUAGCCCGCCAGGCCUCCAUAGAGCUGCCCAGCAUGGCUGCAUCCAGUACCAAGAGUUGGUGGGAGACGGGUGAGGUACAGGCUCAGUCUGCGGCCAAGACUCCGUCCUGCAAGGU